RNAcentral lists this ribosomal RNA (433 nucleotides) under uncultured bacterium. RNAcentral describes it as "partial 16S ribosomal RNA". It matches the Rfam family "Bacterial small subunit ribosomal RNA", at positions 28 to 507 of the family's 1533-position model. The record is from RNAcentral.
AACGAACGCUGGCGGCAUGCCUAACACAUGCAAGUCGAACGAGACCUUCGGGUCUAGGGGCGCACGGGGGCGUAACGCGUGGGAACCUGCCCUUAGGUUCGGAAUAACUCCCCGAAAGGGGUGCUAAUACCGGAUAAUGUCAUCGGGCCAAGGAUUUAUCGCCUUUGGAUGGGCGCGCGUUGGAUUAGCUGGUUGGGAGGGUACAAGCCUACCAAGGCCUCGAUGCAUAGCUGGUCUGAGAGGAUGGUCAGCCACGCUGGGAGUGAGACACGGCCCAGACUCCUACGGGAGGAAGGAGGAGGGAUUAUUGGAGGGUGGGCGAAUGCUGGAGCCAGCCCGGCCGCGUGAUGGAGGCAGUCGUGAUGGUUGUAACGUUCGUUUGUGCGGGAUGGUAAUGACCGUACCGGGAGAAUGAGCCCCCGCUAACUUCGUG